Molecule: unclassified non-coding RNA, 23 nt
Filed under: Chlamydomonas reinhardtii
Lineage: Eukaryota; Viridiplantae; Chlorophyta; Chlorophyceae; Chlamydomonadales; Chlamydomonadaceae
Description: small RNA Cre_2662
Source: RNAcentral
UCGAUUCUCGGCUAGUGCACCAA